UGCACAAUGGGGGAAACCCUGAUGCAGCGACGCCGCGUGGAGGAAGAAGGUUUUCGGAUUGUAAACUCCUGUUGUUGGGGAAGAUAAUGACGGUACCCAACAAGGAAGCGACGGCUAACUACGUGCCAGCAGCCGCGGUAAAACGUAGGUCGCAAGCGUUGUCCGGAAUUACUGGGUGUAAAGGGAGCGCAGGCGGGAGAACAAGUUGGAAGUGAAAUCCAUGGGCUCAACCCAUGAACUGCUUUCAAAACUGUUUUUCUUGAGUAGUGCAGAGGUAGGCGGAAUUCCCAGUGUAGCGGUGAAAUGCGUAGAUAUUAGGAGGAACACCAGUGGCGAAGGCGGCUUACUGGACACUAACUGACGCUGAGGCUCGAAAGCGUGGGGAGCAAACAGGAUUAGAUACCCAUGUAGUCCAC
Molecule: ribosomal RNA, 416 nt
Filed under: Klebsiella pneumoniae subsp. pneumoniae
Lineage: Bacteria; Pseudomonadati; Pseudomonadota; Gammaproteobacteria; Enterobacterales; Enterobacteriaceae
Description: bacterial SSU rRNA
Rfam family: Bacterial small subunit ribosomal RNA
Source: RNAcentral